GGUGCUAGCCUAAAUCCAGUCUACCCUCCUACCUAUGUAUCCGCCUGAUGAUACUACGAUGCACAAACGCUUAAAACUCUAAGGAUCUUGGCGGUGCCCCAAACCCACCUAGAUGGAUGCCUGUUCUAUAAUCGAUAACCCACGAUAUCCACCCGACCACCCCUUGCCCACACAGCCUACAUACCGCCGUCGCCAGCCCACCUAAAAUGAAAGAUCAACAGUGAGCUCAAUAGUCCCCGCUAAUAAGACAGGUCAAGGUAUAGCCCAUGGGUGGAAGAAAUGGGUUACCUUUUCUAAUUAUAGACCAACGAAAAAGGACGUUGAAACCGUCCUUGGAAGGAGAAUUAGCCGUUAAAUAGGACAUACUUCCCUAACCUACUUUAAAACGGCCUGGGGGCACGUUACACACCGCCCGUCACCCUCUGAUA
RNAcentral lists this ribosomal RNA (428 nucleotides) under Tragopan caboti. RNAcentral describes it as "partial 12S ribosomal RNA". Lineage: Eukaryota; Metazoa; Chordata; Aves; Galliformes; Phasianidae. The record is from RNAcentral.